This 503-nucleotide ribosomal RNA is filed under the name uncultured bacterium. RNAcentral describes it as "partial 16S ribosomal RNA". It matches the Rfam family "Bacterial small subunit ribosomal RNA", at positions 28 to 523 of the family's 1533-position model. The record is from RNAcentral.
GAUGAACGCUAGCGGCAGGCCUAACACAUGCAAGUCGAGGGGUAGCAGGAUUAAGCUUGCUUAAUUGCUGACGACCGGCGCACGGGUGCGUAACGCGUAUGCAACCUACCUUAUACUGGGGUAUAGCCCGGAGAAAUUCGGAUUAAUCCCCCAUAGUACUAAUGAAUCGCAUGGUUUAUUAGUUAAAGCAUUGCGGUAUAAGAUGGGCAUGCGUCCUAUUAGCUAGAUGGUGAGGUAACGGCUCACCAUGGCUACGAUAGGUAGGGGGCCUGAGAGAGUGGUCCCCCACACUGGUACUGAGACGCGGACCAGACUCCUACGGGAGGCAGCAGUGAGGAAUAUUGGUCAAUGGGCGCAAGCCUGAACCAGCCAUGCCGCAUGCAGGAAGAAUGCCCUAUGGGUUGUAAACUGCUUUUAUUUGGGAAUAAACCUCUUUACGUGUAGAGAGCUGAAGGUACCAAAUGAAUAAGCACCGGCUAACUCCGUGCCAGCCGCCGCCGUAA